GGGGCUGCACUGGUUUCGACGUGGGUUCGGGAUCGCAGCGGGGCAUGUCGAGCUCUGCAAACGACGAACGUUUCGCACUCGCCGCUUAAACCCGGUGAGCCUUGCAACAGUUGGCCGAUGGGCUGGGCAAGGGGGCGUUAGAGCAAUCUGACGCCUCCCGGCUGCAAGGUUAAUUACAUUGGCUGGCCGCCGUCCGGGCACCUUGGGCGGCGGCGAGAUUCAAGGGUGCUGGCGGCCGGUGGAGCGUGCGACUGCGCGACGCCGGUGGCGAGAUCCAAAGGCUUGCGGACGGGGGUUCAAAUCCCCCCAGCUCCACCA
RNAcentral lists this transfer-messenger RNA (318 nucleotides) under Variovorax paradoxus. It matches the Rfam family "transfer-messenger RNA". From Rfam's summary of the family: Bacterial tmRNA, also known as 10Sa RNA or SsrA, is named for its dual tRNA and mRNA-like properties. Its role is to liberate the mRNA from a stalled ribosome. Lineage: Bacteria; Pseudomonadati; Pseudomonadota; Betaproteobacteria; Burkholderiales; Comamonadaceae. The record is from RNAcentral.